AAUGCAAUUAUUUUUAUAUUUUAAACAUAAACAAACAGCAUAAAAACAUGUGUGAUAACAAUUGGAUACAUUUAGAAAGUUUUGAAGAAAAUGGGCAAGCAACAAUUAGACUUGUUAAUACUGAUGGAGUUCCUGUUUUUAUAUUAUCUAAGUGGACCUUGUGGCCUUUGCUAACAUCCAUUCAUAAUUUUCCAUAUUCAUUGCAAAUUACUAAUAUUUUGUUUUUUGGUUUCUGGUCCAGUAAUUGCACCAAACGUGCAAUUAUUUUAUCUUGUUUUGUUGAUUUUUUUACUAACCUAUCCACUACUGGUAGUUUAAUGAUUGUAAUGGUUGCCAUUGGUGUUCUUCUCAAGUGGUAAGAGUUAAAAAAGGUAGGAGGUCUUGUAUGACUUAUCCAUUUUCUGAUGUUAAUGGGAGUUGUAGAAUCAUACAGAUUUUUUUUGGAUUAAUAUGAUAAUGAGCUAAAGGGAUUUUAGAUUUGUUUUUUAUUUGUAAGAGUACCUAAUUUUAGUUGUGUAAAUGGAACAGUUGUUGAUAAUCUGCACUGUAUUGAGCUUGGUGUUAUGAAAGCUAUGUUUUCUUUCUGAUUUGAUAGUUAUUCUGGUUAUAUUUUUUCUAUUAGAAGUCACUGUACUGUUGUAAAUAAUCUUUUAUCUGCAAUCAGUGUGCCAAGCAAUAUAAGACGGACUCGAUGAUCAUUAAGUUGUAUAAAGCAUUGGAAAGG
This is a long non-coding RNA of Hydra vulgaris (swiftwater hydra), 724 nucleotides long. RefSeq lists it as uncharacterized. The record is from RefSeq and is a predicted model, not a curated record. NCBI's taxonomy places the organism in Eukaryota, Metazoa, Cnidaria, Hydrozoa, Anthoathecata, Hydridae.